Gadus macrocephalus (Pacific cod) is the source of this 569-nucleotide long non-coding RNA. RefSeq lists it as uncharacterized. The transcript has 2 exons. NCBI's taxonomy places the organism in Eukaryota, Metazoa, Chordata, Actinopteri, Gadiformes, Gadidae. The record is from RefSeq and is a predicted model, not a curated record.
GCAGUGGUGUAGUCUACGUGAUACGCAGGUAUACGCCGUAUGCCCACUAGGAACGCACCAGGAUUUGCGUAUACCCACUUAAAAAUGUGCACGGAUACGUAUCAAUCGUCUUGUGACAGAUCUUUCACUUCUGUGUUUAUUUUUCGCAAAUACCGGUUGGGUAUAACUGCAAUAAAAUACUUUAAGCAGGGGAAGUUAUCUCCUACAUUCACCAUUCAUAAAAUCCCCCCUUCGCGCUCUGCCCUGUCUCUGUUACGAAGCGCGAAGCUGCCCCUGCAUCUCUGCACGUUAGUUGGCGGGCCGAGCCCCUCCUUCUCGCGUGUGCGUGCGUGCGUGCGCGUGUGCGUGUGUGUGUGUGUGUUCCUCCCAUAUUAAUGUGUAAACCACAUAAUAAGUAGUCAACAGAAGACAAUGUUUUAAUCCCACUUUAUAUCUCCUUGUUACUUUUAGAUGAGAACCCCUGGCCAGCCUUUCAGACUGGGUGUCAGGCUAGGGAAUUUAAAAACAGGCACCCUUGGUUAGAGUGGAGGGGAAAAGAGUUAGGUAAAUGUCAGCCAACAUACAGUUGG